RNAcentral lists this transfer RNA (74 nucleotides) under Diaphorina citri (Asian citrus psyllid). It matches the Rfam family "tRNA". Rfam says of the family: Transfer RNA (tRNA) molecules are approximately 80 nucleotides in length. Their secondary structure includes four short double-helical elements and three loops (D, anti-codon, and T loops). Lineage: Eukaryota; Metazoa; Arthropoda; Insecta; Hemiptera; Psyllidae. The record is from Rfam by way of RNAcentral.
GCCUAGAUAGCUUGGUUGGUAGCGCGUCUGUCUUGUAAGCGCUAGUGCCGCGGGUUCGAUUCCCGCCCUUGGCG